This 506-nucleotide ribosomal RNA is filed under the name uncultured bacterium. RNAcentral describes it as "partial 16S ribosomal RNA". It matches the Rfam family "Bacterial small subunit ribosomal RNA", at positions 29 to 523 of the family's 1533-position model. The record is from RNAcentral.
AGUGAACGCUGGCGGUAGGCCUAACACAUGCAAGUCGAACGGCAGCACAGAGGAGCUUGCUCCUUGGGUGGCGAGUGGCGGACGGGUGAGGAAUACAUCGGGAUCUACUCUGUCGUGGGGGAUAACGUAGGGAAACUUACGCUAAUACCGCAUACGACCUACGGGUGAAAGCAGGGGAGCUUCGGACCUUGCGCGAUUGAAUGAGCCGAUGUCGGAGUAGCUAGUUGGCGGGGUAAAGGCCCACCAAGGCGACGAUCCGUAGCUGGUCUGAGAGGAUGAUCAGCCACACUGGAACUGAGACACGGUCCAGAAUCCUACGGGAGGCAGCAGUGGGGAAUAUUGGACAAUGGGCGAAAGCCUGAUCCAGCCAUACCGCGUGGGUGAAGAAGGCCUUCGGGUUGUAAAGCCCUUUUGUUGGGAAAGAAAUCCAUCUGGUUAAUACCCGGGUGGGAUGACGGUACCCAAAGAAUAAGCACCGGCUAACUUCGUGCCAGCAGCCGCCGUAA